GCCGGGGUAGCCUAGCUUGGCUUAGGGCGCCAGACUCAUAAUCUGGAGAACAACGGUGGCCAACGCCCUGUG
Molecule: transfer RNA, 72 nt
Filed under: Candidatus Bathyarchaeota archaeon
Lineage: Archaea; Thermoproteati; Candidatus Bathyarchaeota
Description: tRNA-Met
Source: RNAcentral